This 442-nucleotide long non-coding RNA is filed under the name Pongo abelii (Sumatran orangutan). Its description in RNAcentral is "lincRNA". The record is from RNAcentral. Lineage: Eukaryota; Metazoa; Chordata; Mammalia; Primates; Hominidae.
GGAUUACAGGCGCCCACCACCACGCCCAGCUAAUUUUUUGUAUUUUUAGUAGAGACGGGGUUUCACCGUGGUCUCGAUCUCCUGACCUCGUGAUCCGCCUGCCUCGGCCUCCCAAAGUGCUGGGAUUACAAGCUUGAGCCACCGCACCGGGCCCUGAGAUGUCUCCAAGUGGUGGUGAGACAUCAUCAAAUCCUAAGAAACAAUAUACUUGAAGAUUUUUCACUCACUGCAUCAAAGGUCACCAAGGUCUCCAUAUCCCCACGUCGCCAUUCCUAACAAGAAUGAGGCAGAUGAAAACCAUACACAAAAACACGACAAAUAGAAAAGAGAUUCCACCAAAAGCAAUCAUCAAGAAAAUGUCUCCAGCAAGAUUCCCGUUGUUGUAAAGGGGCGUGUAAGUAAUUUGCACUCAAACAACUCCAGAAGUGCUUGCCUGAUGAAA